CCUACGGGAAGCAGCAGUAGGGAAUCUUUCACAAUGGGCGAAAGCCUGAUGGAGCAACGCCGCGUGCAGGAUGAAGGCCUUCGGGUUGUAAACUGCUUUUAUAAGCGAGAAAUAUGAUGGUAACUUAUGAAUAAGGAUCGGCUAACUACGUGCCAGCAGCCGCGGUCAUACGUAGGAUCCGAGCAUUAUCCGGAGUGACUGGGUGUAAAGAGUUGCGUAGGUGGCAUAAUAAGUAGCUAGUGAAAUCUGGUGGCUCAACCAUUCAGACUAUUAGCUAAACUGUUAAGCUCGAGACCGUUAGGGGUAACUGGAAUUUCUAGUGUAGGAGUGAAAUCCGUAGAUAUUAGAAGGAACACCAAUAGCGUAGGCAGGUUGCUGGGACGGUUCUGACACUAAGGCACGAAAGCGUAGGGAGCAAACGGGAUUAGAUACCCCUGUAGUC
RNAcentral lists this ribosomal RNA (442 nucleotides) under uncultured bacterium. RNAcentral's name for it is "partial 16S ribosomal RNA". It matches the Rfam family "Bacterial small subunit ribosomal RNA", at positions 338 to 795 of the family's 1533-position model. The record is from RNAcentral.